CAAAAUUCAUAUCCAAAUUCAUAUCCAUUUAGUAUCGAAUAAAUCCGUUCUAUUCGGAUUUGAAUUCGAAUAAAAUUUUGAAUAUUCAUACCCACUGACGUUCCUACUCGAGAGGAGAAAUCACACACUCAAUUUUCUAAUUUUUAGCUUCUAAGCCCUUGUUACCCCCAUAUUAUCCCUAAACACCCUAAAAAAUGGGUGAGGUUAGCUAACCCCACCUCAAAUAAAUUAUUCCGGAUUAGCUAACCCCACCUAACCCCACAAACUCCAACCAAACAUUAUUUUUCAUUCAUAAUAACCCACUAUCUUUCUUAUCACACCUACUCCAACCAAUCAUUAUUCUUCUUUAUCAAUCAUUAUCUUUUUAUCCCACCUACUCCAACCAAACACUAUUUUUCAUUAUUCUAGACUAACUCCAACUCCCAACCAAACACAAAAAAAUUUUAACUCCACUUUAACCCUGAACUUAACUCUAUUCCUGAAAUAACUAUUUUUUUCUUAAUCCCGAACCAAACGGAGGCUAAAUGUUUUAAAAUUACUUCCUUGUU
Molecule: long non-coding RNA, 548 nt
Filed under: Ananas comosus (pineapple)
Lineage: Eukaryota; Viridiplantae; Streptophyta; Magnoliopsida; Poales; Bromeliaceae
Description: long non-coding RNA (ACOM_LNC037202)
Source: RNAcentral